Homo sapiens (human) is the source of this 1893-nucleotide long non-coding RNA. NCBI's taxonomy places the organism in Eukaryota, Metazoa, Chordata, Mammalia, Primates, Hominidae. The record is from Ensembl.
UUUUUUAUAGAGACAUGUCUUGCUGUGGUUGCGCAGGCUGGUCUUGAACUCCUGGGUUCAAGCGAUCCUCUUGCAUCAGCCUCCCAAAGUGCUGGGAUUAUAGGCAUGAGCCACUGUAUCUGGACUCACUUAGAGGAGUCUAAUGUGAAUGGCCCAAUAUCUUCCAAUAAGAAAGUCUUCUGUCAACUCUACUAAACCACAGAUUUAAUCAGAAAAGUGGCAUUUCCAAGUUUUUAUUUAAUAAAGUUCAUGUUGAAACUUGGGUAGGGAAAAUUGGUAAAUAAGUAGGUAGAUGGACAGGACCUGGUGGCCAGUUAUAUUUGAUUAAUGAUAGGAAAGAAGUAUCUAGGUAUAAUGCCUGGGUUUUUAGGAAACUACGAGGGUUGAUAGGGUCAGAGAAAAUAUAUAUGUAGUGUUAGAAGAACCUUGGUGAAACCAACCUUUUAGGUGUAAAGGAUUAAGUAGAUUCAAAAGAUACUGCAUUUUCAGAAGUCAAAAACUAGUGGAGAGUGGUAAUCGCAAUGGAAGAAAAUGCCAAGAGGGAAGGAGAAAGUGACCUAGAUCAGAAAGACUUAGGAAGGUCAAUGCAAAGUGUGUUUAUUAGAUUUGUUAAUUGCCAAAGCCUUAAGAUAGAAUGAGAUUGCCUUCAUUCACUUUCAGCAAAGCCAAGGGCGUUGUCUUUCCCUUUUCAUAUCUGGGACCUCAUUUUAUUUCAAUUUUAUUUGUCUCAAAUCAAGAUAGUAGGAAUAAUGAAUUACUGUUCAUUCUGAUUUUUUGGUACUUGCAAAAGUAUGUGUAUGUUUUUAAACACUCCCCCAACUUCCAGACUUUUAUAAGAUUGGGAAAAUAGCACAGAUAAUGUAAUACUGAUUGGCCUUAGAGCCAGUGACCCUGGACAACUCACCUAACCUUUCUGAGUUUCCCAUAUUUCCCUUUUUAUCUUCCCCUUCACUUACAUGGGUGAAUUACAAAAAAAGUUUUACUACCCUAACAUCAGGAAGGUCAUUAUAAUGUAGUAGCAAAGAGCAUAGACUCUAAAGCCAAACUGUCUCUUUGUGAAUCUUGGCUCUGCCACUUACCUGUGUGUCCUGGGGAAAGUUAACUUUAUGGGCCCCUGUUUCCUCAACUGUGAUAUUAGGAUACUUUCAGUGUUCACCUCUAAGAGUUGUAGGGAGUCAACGAGUAAACACAUGUAAGGCACCUUUUAGAAAGCUGCCUCCUACAUAGUAACCUUUCUAAAUCUUUGCUGCUGUUACCAUUAUGACAUUAUCAUGAUACCAGUAUCAUCCUCAGUCAACAAACGAUAGAUAACUCAGAGAAUGAAAAGGUUGUUCCUUUAUAUAGUUUCCCUAGAAUCACCUUGUACCACUGCUGCUGAGUUGCAAUCAUUCGUUAGUCGUAUGUGACCUAGAUUCCAUUUUCUAAGAUUAUUCAACAAUGUAGAGGAUCAGCGUAGUGGAAAUACGUCUAUAAACAUUUCUAAGAAUUGAAUUCAUUGUAAUUAAUAGCAUCAGAGAAGCUGAAAAUCCAAAGAGCUAAUCUCUUAACUUCAUGAUGGAGGACAAAGAUUUUAUCUUUUGGAAUUUUAAUAAUGUUUCCAGCAUGAGAUUAGCCUUCAAUAUUGAUUUCUGGAAUUCUGUUUUCCCUUGUUUUUCAUUGAUUAACCUAAAACUUUUGAGAUGUAGUUCAUAUUUUUGGUAAUAUUGCUAUGAUUAUAUAACUGUAACUGUCUAGAAUUUAAUUUCUAGCAAGGGAAAUUUAAGCCUUUUCCUCAGAAUUAUUUUUCAUGGGAAAAUUCUUACUGAUAGAUUACUGGACUUGAGUCAUAAUUUAUUGGUUAUCUUAUUCUGCCCUAUCUACUCUCAGCACUAAUUAUAAAAAUAAUCAAAGAAA